GCCUGGGUGGUUCAGUCGGUUAAGCAUCUGACUUCAGGCUAGGUCAUGAUCUCACAGUUUGUGGGUUCGAGCCCCACAUCGAGUG
Molecule: transfer RNA, 85 nt
Filed under: Felis catus (domestic cat)
Lineage: Eukaryota; Metazoa; Chordata; Mammalia; Carnivora; Felidae
Description: tRNA-OTHER
Source: RNAcentral